Molecule: RNA transcript, 2100 nt
Organism: Stomoxys calcitrans (stable fly)
Lineage: Eukaryota; Metazoa; Arthropoda; Insecta; Diptera; Muscidae
Exons: 4
Source: RefSeq, a predicted model, not a curated record
CAUAGUGCUAAACUUUUGCUCAGCACUGUAGUGCUAAACUUUUGCACAUAACUAUAACUAGCGGGUUGUCACUGCAUGCAUAUGCAAUGUAUGUGUGUGUGUCAGCAGCCGCUAGUUACAAGUUUUUUCAUCUCAUGGUUGUUGUUGCCGUCUGCUGAAUUCAAUCAGCAGCCGGCUUCAGUGACAAAAGAAGAAGUCAAAAUAAUUAUUAGUGAUCGAUACCUUAAACAAAACGUUCGCUCUCCCCGUGACAACAAACAAAAGCAACAAAAAAGGGAAUUAGAAUUUUUGAAAAUUAAGAACAAAUGUGAAUGUGAAACCAAGUGUAUAAAAAAGAAAAUUUAAAAUUAUUAAAACUAUUAUUGCACGAAUUGAUUUAACCUAAAUUAUAUUGCACCUUUGUUACUAUAUUGCACUUACCCAUCGUUUUGAUACAUAAUAAAUUUGUGAACUGAAAAUUAAAAGUGCCAAUUGUACAUUCCUUGGAAAGAAAAAACAAAAGGAAUGGCAGCCUACUUGCCCCGUCCAGAAGACGAGCGGCCUCAAGGAAAAGAGCGUCGUCAUCGGGACGAACGAGGAGCGGAACCCCGGCCCCAACGAAAUCCGUCUCGAAAUCGCGACCGCGAUCAUGUAGAUCGGCGCGGAAGACCCACUUUCUGGCAGUACUCUUGCGGUCUCUGCCAAGAUGACCAUGCGCUGAGCACAUGCCGCCGAUUCCGGGACCAGACCCCAUACCAACGUUACGAAACUGUGGAGCGGCGGGGGUAUUGCCGUAAUUGCUUGGCGCGCAGUCAUCUUGCACCUGAUUGCCAGUCCAUCGCAGGCUGCCGUCGCUGCGAGGAGCGACAUCACACGCUGCUGCAUGGGGCACCGCAGCUUGAAAACAUGGAGAGGCCCGCCGAUGAUUUUGCUCCUGCCAACAACGCCAGACCUGCACCCACAGCAUCCCCACCCUUUAAGUGGGAUCUUGUCUUUGUGCCUACUGCCAUGGUACGAAUAGCAGAGGAUGGGGUCGAUACUUGGACCACCGUGCGAGCGUUGAUCAAUCAAUCAUCUACAAUGUCUCGGCUGGCCUAUUCUACAUUCCGGCGACUUGGACUACGAUCGUGUACAUACCAGGGCAACAGGUUUACAACCUUCCGAUUGAUGCAUCGCAGCCCAAAUAGCAACUGGGCACUUAAGAUUAAUGCACUCAUCACAGAUGCAUUGCCUUUCCGACCCUACUCAGACCCACUUUUGGAGGACCCGACCCGUGAUUUAGCGCAAGACACCCUUGCUGAUACAGACCCUAGAGCCAACACGUCAAUAGACUUAGAAUUGGGCGCGGAUGUCUAUCCGAGACUGCAGAGGGAUGGCCAUGUCUUUGCCGGCAUUGGGGAUGUCAACGCAUUCCAGACCACUCUUGGCUACGUCUUUGUCGGCCCCAUCCGGAAUAUGCCUAGACACUAAGCUAACAUUUUAGAAGAAUUACACUUGUCACGGGGGGGCAAGAUGUUUAGCAUAGUGCUAAACUUUUGCUCAGCACUGUAGUGCUAAACUUUUGCACAUAACUAUAACUAGCGGGUUGUCACUGCAUGCAUAUGCAAUGUAUGUGUGUGUGUCAGCAGCCGCUAGUUACAAGUUUUUUCAUCUCAUGGUUGUUGUUGCCGUCUGCUGAAUUCAAUCAGCAGCCGGCUUCAGUGACAAAAGAAGAAGUCAAAAUAAUUAUUAGUGAUCGAUACCUUAAACAAAACGUUCGCUCUCCCCGUGACAACAAACAAAAGCAACAAAAAAGGGAAUUAGAAUUUUUGAAAAUUAAGAACAAAUGUGAAUGUGAAACCAAGUGUAUAAAAAAGAAAAUAGAUCUACCUAUAUACUUACCAAGCUAUAUACUUACCUACCUAUAUACUUACCAAGCUAUACACUUACCUGCCUGUGUACUUACAUGCCUAUACCUACUUAUAUAUGUUAAACCAUAAAUACAUAAAAAUUAAAGAAGCCAUUUACACUGUUGAACAAAAAUACUCACCCAAAUGUACCAUCUGAAAGAAAAGUUAAAAAUACAAAAAAAGACAAAUUAAUUUUUACCUGAAUUGUUAAUUCUUGCUAAGUGUUGCCUAG